Long non-coding RNA from Clupea harengus (Atlantic herring), 231 nucleotides. RefSeq lists it as uncharacterized. The transcript is spliced from 3 exons. The record is from RefSeq and is a predicted model, not a curated record. NCBI's taxonomy places the organism in Eukaryota, Metazoa, Chordata, Actinopteri, Clupeiformes, Clupeidae.
UCUUGUAUAUAUUAAAUGUUGAUGAUUAAACACACUGAGUACUAAUCUGUACUGCCCCUUUAAGAGAAUUAGCUUAGUACGUUGGAAACCCGGUUUAGUCUUCAGUCUGCGGUUGCUGAGCUGAAGACAGUAGGCUAGUAUCCAGCGAAUAAGAAGACUGCAUGUUAACUGUCUCGUGUGUAUUGAUCUGUACAGGAAUAAAUACGCAAACCAUCAGUUCGUGGCCGUUUC